CAAGAGCGUAUGUAAAGGUUGUUGCAGUUAAAAAGCUCGUAGUUGAACCUUGGGUUUGGUUGGCCGGUCCGCUUUUUUGCGAGUACUGGAUUCAACCGAGCCUUUCCUUCUGGCUAACCAGUCGUUUCGGCGGCUGGCGAACCAGGAUUUUUACUUUGAGAAAAUUAGAGUGUUCAAAGCAGGCAUUAGCUUGAAUAUAUUAGCAUGGAAUAAUAGAAUAGGACGUUAUGGUUCUAUUUUGUUGGUUUCUAGGACCAUCGUAAUGAUUAAUAGGGACGGUCGGGGGCAUCAGUAUUCAGUUGUCAGAGGUGAAAUUCUUGGAUUUACUGAAGACUAACUACUGCGAAAGCAUUUGCCAAGGACGUUUUCAUUAA
RNAcentral lists this ribosomal RNA (374 nucleotides) under uncultured eukaryote. RNAcentral's name for it is "partial 18S ribosomal RNA". It matches the Rfam family "Eukaryotic small subunit ribosomal RNA", at positions 592 to 976 of the family's 1831-position model. The record is from RNAcentral.